RNAcentral lists this non-coding RNA (398 nucleotides) under Saccharomyces cerevisiae YJM1402. Lineage: Eukaryota; Fungi; Ascomycota; Saccharomycetes; Saccharomycetales; Saccharomycetaceae. RNAcentral also lists the same sequence under 1 other name. The record is from RNAcentral.
AGAUAUUUAUAUUAUUAAUAGGAAAGUCAUAAAUAUAUAAAUUAUAUUAUAUAAUUAAUAUAAUAAUAAAAUAAAUUAUAUAUUUUAUUUAUAAUAUUAUUUCUUUAUAAGAUAAAUAUUAUCUAAUUAAUAAUUAGAUUGAAUAAUAUUUAUAAAGAAAUAUAUAUAUAUAUAAAAAAUCAUUAUAUAAAUUUAAUUAUAAUUUAAAUAAAUUUUAUAUAAAUUAAUAUAAUAUUAAUAAAGUAAUUAGUAUAAAUAAAUAAUAUGAAAAUAAAACUUAAUAAAUAUAUAAAUAUAGUCCAUAUAUAUAUAUUAAUAAAAAAAAAGUAAUAUAUAUAUAUAUAUUGGAAUAGUUAUAUUAUUAUACAGAAAUAUGCUUAAUUAUAAUAUAAUAUCCU